RNAcentral lists this transfer RNA (69 nucleotides) under Nesophrosyne sp. 29 GMB-2012. RNAcentral's name for it is "tRNA-Gln". The record is from RNAcentral. Lineage: Eukaryota; Metazoa; Arthropoda; Insecta; Hemiptera; Cicadellidae.
UGUUAAGAGGUGUAAGAAGCAUAGGAGAUUUUGAUUUUCAAGGGUUGAGUUUAAUUCUUAAUUUAACAG